This 142-nucleotide transfer RNA is filed under the name Candidatus Naiadarchaeales archaeon SRR2090153.bin461. Its description in RNAcentral is "tRNA-Val". The record is from RNAcentral. Lineage: Archaea; Nanobdellati; Candidatus Undinarchaeota; Candidatus Undinarchaeia; Candidatus Naiadarchaeales.
GGGCUGGUGGUCUAGUGGUAUGACGUUCCCUUGACAGGGGAAAGGUCGGCGGUUCAAUUUAACGCAAAGCAACGCUUUGCGGACUUUGCUAAUGCAAAGUGAAGCGAAUAAAUUUCGCGUCAUGAAAAUCCGCCCCGGCCCA